This 321-nucleotide long non-coding RNA is filed under the name Anas platyrhynchos platyrhynchos (common mallard). RNAcentral describes it as "lncRNA (ENSAPLG00000016754.1)". Lineage: Eukaryota; Metazoa; Chordata; Aves; Anseriformes; Anatidae. The record is from RNAcentral.
CUAAUUAUUUAUUUAUUUAUUUUUAAUCUGUCUGCAUCUAGACAAAUGAUCACAGUGAAUCAGCUGCUGUUUUUAUGUACUUCUCUCCAUCCUCUAAGAAAUCACGUGUCUGCUGCUCAGAACCAUUAGGUAACCAAGAGAAAUUUUCUAGGUCUAGGAAGACGUCUUGUCCAGGUCAUCGGUAUGUGUACACAUACACAUUUUUCAUAUGUUUCUCUCUUGAAAAAUCCAACAUUUCAUUGGGGGAAAAAAGCAUUCAAGUCCCAAUAUAAUGAGGCUGUUCAGAAAAACGGGAAAUAAAAGGACAAUGGAUGAAAUUCA